This 126-nucleotide small RNA is filed under the name Marmota monax (woodchuck). Lineage: Eukaryota; Metazoa; Chordata; Mammalia; Rodentia; Sciuridae. The record is from RNAcentral.
GCCAGGCAUAGUGGCACAUGCCUGUAAUCCCAGCCAUUCAGGAGGCUGAGGCAGGAGGAUCCUCAUUUUUAAAGCCAGCCUCUGCAAAAGCAAGGUUCUAAGCAACUCAGUGAGACCCUGUCUCUA